CCCUUAGAUGUUCUGGGCUGCACGCGCGCUACACUGAAGCUAUCAACACGUUUUCCCUCCCUGAGAAGGGCGGGUAACCUUUUGAAUCAGCUUCGUGGUAGGGAUCGGGGCUUGCAAUUGUUCCCCGUGAACCAGGAAUUCCUAGUAGACGCGAGUCAUAAGCUCGCAUCGAUUAAGUCCCUGCCCUUUGUACACACCGCCCGUCGCUACUACCGAUUGAACGUUUUAGUGAGGCAUUUGGACCGACGCAUCUCAGUUUAACCGCUGGUUUGUGUUGGAAAGACUUCCAAACUUGAGCGUUUAGUGGAAGUAAAAGUCGUAACA
RNAcentral lists this ribosomal RNA (324 nucleotides) under uncultured eukaryote. RNAcentral describes it as "partial 18S ribosomal RNA". It matches the Rfam family "Eukaryotic small subunit ribosomal RNA", at positions 1470 to 1796 of the family's 1831-position model. The record is from RNAcentral.